GUACUACCGAUGAGUCCCAAACUAGGACGAAACAGCUGUCCAGUAC
This is a non-coding RNA of Trichobilharzia regenti, 46 nucleotides long. Lineage: Eukaryota; Metazoa; Platyhelminthes; Trematoda; Strigeidida; Schistosomatidae. The record is from Rfam.